AAAAUAAACUAUUGUGACACUUUUGACCUCAUGAGUUAUACAAGCUUCCUUCAUGAUUGACAAAAGCAACUUUCAGUGCAACAGCUGAUCUUUAUUUCUUUACACCAAGAGAUACAGAGAAUUCUCUAAGUGAUAACAUAACCUUUGCAACAGCCUUAAAAAUCCUUCACUAUCUACUGACUUCUGCAAAGUGAAGUAGGGAAAAACAAUGAAAGUCACAUCAGCAUUUUAUUUCAUUCUUUUAUAAGUGUAAACAUAGUCAUUCCCCAUAUGUGAGAACUUACCACCAACCUGCGAUCUGGGUAACUGUUUCCUUGAAAAUAACAGCAACUUCAUAACCCCUUCUGUACCUAGAUCUUCUGCAUUUGGCUUCCAGGCAGUGAUUACUACUUCCACUGAAUGCUUUAGCUGUUAGAUAAAAACCCCACUGCCCAAGGUUCCCAUCUCUUUGUUCAACUCCACUUCAAGAGGAGGCAGAAUUUCUUACCAUAUUCAGAAAGCCAAGACUGGUAAAGCAUGGCACAACAGCACUUAUCCAACCAAAAUAAUGUAGAACUAGAACUAAAUUGGAAAUGGGAAUGUGGUGUGUGUGUGUUGCUGGACUGUGGAGUCAUCUAAUUUUGAAACAUGAACAUUUCAAACAUCCUCUGCACAACUCACCUUAUUUCACCCUUCCUCCUUUCUUCAACAUUUACUCCAUAAACAUCACAGCCUUUACCUGAAAUAUUUUGACCUUCCUUUUACUUCCUCUCCCUUCUGCCUCAUCCUCCCUUUCCCUACUCUCUGCUAUCUACUGUUCGGGUCAUUUAGCAAUGUGCUGAGAUAUUCCUUCUCAGUGGUAAGUUUGCAGUUGAAUGAGAACAUGCCGGAAAACACGACCAGAGAAUAAAAGUGUGAACUGUAUCAUUCACCACAAUGGGUAGUCUCAUUCCCACGCUCAAAGUUCAAGAGCUUGUGGGUCUACACCACAGACCAAACAUGGCAGCUCUUAAUACCGUAUGACUGGUUCAUACUUCAAAUCUGUGUCUUUCCAAUCUCUGCAAUCCCAACUCAGACUAAGGCCUCCACUUUCCCAUUAUUUUUUUCUACUAAUAGGCAUUAUGACCUCAGCAAUUAUUCAGUGCACCCCUUAGAAACAAGCCUGAAACACUGAGAUUGAUCUCUGCUUUUCUUUAAUAUGCAGCCACCUCUGUGUUGUUAGCACACCCUAAAACAGGCAGUGAGCAAUUAGCAACAGAUGCAGACACCUGUAUCUUGAGAACUCUGUCCAAACGAACCCACAUUUAAGAGAAGUUAGACCUACCCUAGUUCUGCCUAGGCAUAAUAAAUGUCAAACACUUGGGAUUUUGUAGUUUAGAUCAAUCAUCUUUUAAGCAAUAGGCAAAUGCCAACCUGAACUCUAAGUGAACUACUACUCUACCGAAGCACUGUUCUGCCUAUUGUCCUCAUGCACUACACUUAAAAAUGACCACAUGAGAAUUUGAGGGUACAUGAAUUUCACUCAGCUUGCUCUGGAAUGAGGAAGGCUGUGAGAGAACCAGCAAACAAAGGGAAAUUACCUGCAGCAGCAACUGCAGAACAAACAACACCGUUAUAAAUAUCCUUCCUCUAGAGGAACUAUAUUAUUGUGGAGGAAUUAUAUUAUUAAGAAUGGCUACUUCAGAACCUAUUUUACAAUAACUAUUCAGUCUACUUCCCUGUACAGAAAUGCCAAAUGCUACCUUUGCUCAAAGCAAAAUUAAGCCCUAAACUUAGAAACAACUGCAUUCUCCAGUCCUGUUCAACAGGCCAAUGCACCCAGGCCACCGAAUCUUCUUGCUCGUGCUCUUUCCAAAUGGAGUAAGCUGCAGCUAAGGCAAAGUGUUCAGAAGGUGAUAAAAAAUUACUUCUGGGUGCCAUCUUUCCCAACAGCUUGCAGAUCUUUGACAUGACUUGUUGGCCAUGUGUCUGGACAUUUGGCAGAGGGGGAGCAAAAAAGAAAGGCCAAGAGUAGGCUUCAUUAGUUGUUCGGACCUUGUUGUGCCUGCCUUGGCUAUCCUCUGCCCUGGACAAUCUGUGGCGGGAUGCGGACUUUGGACAGGAAUUAUGUGCAUGCACUCUAUUGGUUUUGUGCCUGUACUUUCAAGGGAAGCUAGUUCACUCUGCUGUAGAAAUACUGCGGCUAAAACCUGUGACUGGGAGAGACUGAGGUAUGUAUCCUCUCCUCUACCACUUCAAAAGUCUGGUGCAAUCAACCUAGAAAGACUAAAUGCCCCUGCUCAAUGUAAUCCUCCCACAACAAGUAAAGAGAAGGAAAUUCUUAAACUCAUAAAGCUUUUUAAUUGGAAAACAACGGAGACGCUUAUGAUUUAAUCCACUGGCAACACUAUAAAUCUGUUUCAUUAACGGAUAAAUAUUACUUUGAGUAUACUCGAGAAUUCUAGAACUAAGAAAUUUUUGUGAAAGUAAAAAUACUUUUUUUUUUUUUUAAAUAAACCAACGAUCACCAAAAUGCUCAGCUAAAACCUACAGGAAAUAAAGUACAAUAAAUUUCACAGUCAAAAUCCUAAGCCCUGUGAGAACUCUGAUUUGAAAUUUCUAUUGAGAAGCAGACUGCCUAAGAGCAAAUCUGGAAAAAAAAAAAAAUCUACAACUCCACAAGUAAACAGUGAGAACUGAACCUGUACGUGCAGGACUUCACACAGACCAGAAACUUGCACCUACAUAUGCACUUGAUUGAAAGAACAUUAAAACUGAAGAUUAGUGUGCGCAGAAGUUCAGAAACACCAGAAUACUUCCACAGUUUUAAUUUAGUCACUCUAUGUAAAUAAAUUAUGAUACUAUCUAGCUACAUGAAUACCCGUAUUUACUUUAAAAGGUGGAAUGGAAGUAAUGCUCACUGAAUAGGCUGCUACACAAUACAAUUUAUUUUCAUUGUAUUUAACUUAAUAUCCCUUGAUACUCCUCAGACUGUGCCCAAAUAAAAUUAUUGUCUGCAUAUAUAUUGUAUAUGGUAGUUGUUGUUGUACCUAUGUAAUUCAUAAUUUCUUUCUGCAGUAUUCUUAUGAGAUUGGGUUUUAUUCUACCUACAGAAAAACAAGGAGACAUAGGUUAAAGACGAGAAGGUUUCGUGAUUUGAAAUUUCUGAUUUCAUAUAAAGACUUUAUAAAGACUAGGAACAUACAUUAGUCAGUAAAUCUGUUUAGCAGAACUCCGGACAGAAGUUUUAUAGGAAGUUUCAAAAAUUUGGGAAAAGUAAGCCAAAUGAGAGGUCUGAAAGAGAUGUUCCUUUCUGCUCACAUUCAGAACCAAGCAAGAAGGGGUGCUAGAUUCAUGUUGGACUAAGGACUGAAAAGAAGCAUAGUUCUUUCAAACAUCAGGGCACUAACAUGGGAAUUCCUUCACAUAUCAAAACAAAGAUCCAUUCAAAUCAGUAUCCUGUCUCUGAAAGUGGUCAACGGCAGUCAUCUUGGAAGACAGCAACACGGCAAGCAGUUUGUGCCAGGCAUGUUCUUCCAGCCUCCAGUCCAGGAAUUAUGUGAAGCAGAGUCUUUGUUACUAACAUAUUUUGCUCAUUCUUUUCUUCUACGGAUUUGCUGAACAACUUUUUGCAUUUCAGCUUUUGGCAUCCCAUGGCAAAAGGCUCCACAGUUUACUCUAAGGCUGCAUUAAGCACCACCCCCUUUCGUUUGUCAGGAACCUGCCAUUCUCCUGUGAUGGCCUCUGCUGAACAGUCACAAAAAUUAAGGCUGCCUUCCAGCAAAGGGGCAACAAUACAGAUUAGCAAUUUUGUUUAUUCUACUGUUGCAGGCUGGGUUUAUUUUUUUAAGCUCCUUUUUGACACAUCUUCAUGUGAUCCUCCAGGAGAGGAUAUUCUAAUAUGUAGAGAAGAAGAAACAUUCUCUAUAAAGUAACUGUAUACACACCAACAUAUUUCUUAUUGAAGCUUUUAUUUUUUCUUAAUAUACAUUGCAUAUUCUUCAGAAGUUUUCCUACCACUUUGUAACUCCAUCUAACUCUUCUUCAUAAACAUGUAGCUUGAGAAACACUGGUCAAAUUCAAGUAGUUUGGCUGAUGAUUCAGCCUAAUCUGACAUUUAUAUUACACCAAAUGUAAUAUGUGAAUCAGAAUAGCUGAGCCAUCAAUACUUAAUGAUUAAUUAUUCAAUAAAUAUUUUAAAAGACUAACAUCUGCUUAAAAAGGGGAAAAAAAAUUUAAAUCUUCAAAACAACAAAACAGUCAUUUUUCAGAGGACAUCAAUGCUGGUGAAAAUAUGCCAAGACUAGUGUUCUGAUACUUCUUUUUUCUCUCCCUCUACAAACCUAUGCUUAUUUUAAAGUUUCAAGCAGUUAUGUCUACAGUUAUAAAGUUUACAAGUUCUGUAAUUUAAUGAAAAUUCUGCCAUUUAAACAGCCUGGAUGUAAAGACAGUGGAAAAUGGCUCUCUUCUAUUUUACAAUCACGAUGAAAGUUCAUAACAGCUUUUAAAAUAGAAAUAAAGAAUAAAGUCUGAAUAUCAUUCCAAAUAAAAGUUUAAAAACUACUACUUAAUCCCAACUACAUAAGCAUACUUAAUGUAGCUGAAAGGCCCACACCUCCCAAUCAGUUCCCAGUGCAACCUGUGAAAGACACGGAUACAAACAGGAAACAAUGGUUAUGCAGAGAGUUCUGUCAAAUCAGUAAGUAAAAACGAGAAAAGGAUAAAAAAUACUUUGUUUAUAAGUCAUGGUAACCUUGUAAUACAGACAACAGAAAUUUAGUGACAAAGUUUAAAAUGACAUGACUGUGUGAAGUCAUUCCAUGCUAUAAAAGAACCUUUACACUCACAUUCCAGAAGCCUUCAAAAGCAAACGCCGCUUGAAGUUCACACAAAUUACUUUUUAUCUUAAGAUUUUUAACUUCGUAAAUGCACUAGAAAUUAGAUUUACCUCAGCUAUCAGUUUUCUGUAGAGUUUACAAAACAGUUGAAAAUGUAAAACAAAACCCUACCAAAAUAAAAAUCGGCUACUCUAACUUGGUCUAGCUUUGGUCUUCAUGGUGAGUUGUCUUAUAAAUGACUGCAGACUACUGCUCAUCUGAACCAAUGCUCUCACAGCUCACUUAGUCAACUCUAAGCAUUAAAUCUGGAGAAUGCCGUCUGUUCUUUUGGUAUUAACGAAUUAAACCAAUUAUAAAAAUUUUUAGAAGUAUUAAAAAACAUGGGGAAAAAAAGUAGUUGCCAAAUUGAAGCACUUUUACUGAAAUUUCAAUUCCAACUGAUUUCAAAGGAAUCCAAAUCUGCUGACGACAGGGUCAUGUCAAAAAAAAAAUGCCAGUAAUUUCCACCAUUACUAGUAAAUAUUCAGUGGUAGCAAACCUCUGACGUGUUAAUACCUAUGCUCAGGGGUGGGGGGGGGGAGAAAAAAAAAGGAUAUAGAACAUACGUAGAUGGUUGUACUAAAUUAAAUAAUCCAUUAACACUACAGUCAAUUUUACUGAGUUGGACAGGAAGAAUGAGAGCAUUUAUGCGAAGAAAGACCAUAAUUUGGGCAGCUAAGGAAGACAGAGGGAGGGACUUGGGAGGACUGCAGAAGGUGAAUUAAUCCAUUACUGAGCAGGACAAAGCGGGUUUGGAAAGCAGCAGAAAGGAACCAGAUGCAGAUUUAAGCAACAAAAAUGUUUUAAGACCACAUUUCCCAAUACUCUUUAGGCAGGAAUGAUAUGGAGGACAGAAAAAAAUCCAGGCUCGACAGUUACAGCUGAGGGUUCUUUUUAGGGGAACAACAACGACAAACAUGAGGGAUGCGAAUACCCCAUUUUUACAAGGCUGGUGUGUAUUCUAGAAAUAGGUUAUUAUACAUUCACACCGUCUGGAGAUAGUUAUCUCAGAAACAGGGGUUACUGUAUUUUAGAAAGUACUGAUAUUAAGGCUGACUUCAUUAAUGUUCUCAAAGCCAGGCUUUCCACAGAAGUCUGGUUCUUUCAAUGUAAGGCAGUUUAAUUAAAAAUGGGGGGUGAAUUAAGUGGGGAAAGAGCUGCGAGAGUCCCCUUUCACCCUCACAGCACUCUUUCCUGAGCUAUUCCAGUGAAGCUUUUAUUAUAAUUUUUCCAUUAACCCGGCGUGCGCACACAUAUUUUAAGAGACCCCCACACACACAGGUACAAGGCUCGCCCCCGGGCAUGUGGGGAGACAGAUGUACGUAGGGGCAGUCGGAGCUUUUGGCGGGCGGGAGCUGCGGCAGCCCCGAGGCGGCCGUUGAGCAGCGCCCCGCAGCAGGCAGCACAAUGCGGCGGGGCGGCGCGCAGAAAACCUCCCGGAACCCCAGCAACAGCGGGCAAUUAGCAUAGCCUACCACCGCGCCGCCGCCGCCUGAUUGGGCGAGCCGGGCGGCGCGCGGGCCAAUGGCGCGGCGCUAUGCAAAUGAACUCCCCCCAGUUGCCAGGGCAGAGCUGCCGCCCGCCGCCCAAUGGGGAAGCGGGCGAUAACCGAGAGGCGAAAUGGAGCCGUGUCACGCUUCCAAGGCGCUGUUAACGCUUUCAAGUUCAAAGCCCAACCGCCGCGGCCGGCGACGGUUGGAGCCGCGCGCGACGCCGGGCGCCCGCGGCAAGGGCAGGGCAGGGCAGCCCCGCGCCGCCACAGCGCCGCGCCCCGCCCCGCGCGCCCCCAGGGCUGAGGCGUCCGAGCGCCCCGCGUAGACCCCGAGGGAGGCAGGGAGGGGAGUCUCGCCCUGCCUUGGGUCGCCUCACGCAGCAGCCCUAGGGGCUGCUGUAUCGGGACGCGCUGCCUCUAGCGCAGGACCCCCCCCCCUUUUCACAGCUAAUAAACUGCUGGUGUUUCAAAGUGGGAAAAGACUGAAGGAAGACCCUCCUUGGGUAUUUACUUCGCUGGCAGAUUUUAAAUAAAUGAGUUUCGGGGUGUUUGACUAAAUAGAACCGCCAGGUUCGGGACUAAGCAUAAGAAACGUAAGCAUGGUAAUGAGAAAUAGCCAAUUUCUUCCAUCACUUAGAAAUACCACCUAAGAGAACACUUGCAAUUAGUGUCUCUGCACACAGCAGAGCGAAUCCCCCAGGAAUACCAGCUCCUGACCACCGGCAGCCCCGACAUGCCUCAGAGCCGCCACUCCCCCCACACACAGAUGUGCGUUUUGAAACGGCCAUCCUUCGGUCCGCUUACAAUGGAGAAUCUAAACACAACGCCUGACAGACUUACUCUGGAAGCAACUGCCUCUCUGCAGAAGAAGAAGAAUGCAGCUGCACAGCCUGGCUCUGCACCGUGGGGCCUGUGGAAGCCGCCUGACACUGGCAACUGACAUCCGCUAUCCAGGUACAGAGCAGGUACAGGACCCGAAGCAGCAGCAGCAGCCACUGCCUGUGUUUCUCAAAGCCGCCCAGGGACUGUGACACUGCUCUGCCCACCAGGCAGCUGGAGCAGGACUAGGACUCUUGUCAGCCACUAGCCAGAGGCACUGCCAAAGAGUGCAGCAGCAGCAAGCAGAAGAGCGUUAUCUGACCAUCGGCUUACAAGAUUUUCCAAGCAAUCCAUCCUGGGCCAGUAUCUUGCAGCACUAAUCCUUCGGCUAGUCUGCUCAACUGCCCUCUCAAAUACUUUUAUCAGCAGUUAAGUAAGAAGAGUUCCUUGAGUUUGUGCAGUGUCUUUUCUCUUCCCCACCUCUAAAGAUGACAAAUAACAUUACUUACAAUUUCCAGUUCACAGUGCAAAACUAAAGACAGUAUAUAAAUUACCCGCUACGUGGCAACACAUCAAACCACACAACCUGUACAAGAGGCGAAAAACACCAAAAACUUUGCACCUAAGCAACGCCUAUGUCUAACAUGUAGCCCAAUGUCUAAACUUUACUUUUUAGAUUCAACAUAUAUUUCCAGCUGAACACAAUAUACGGCUGGCACGGAAGUGAAUCAUUUUUAAAGCUCUCCUUUAAUCUACAGUACAAAUACAUAUAUAUUAAAAAGGAAUCUUUUCCUGCUCAUAAAAACCAUCAAGGGAAAUAGAAUAAUUCAAGUCAUUUCCCAUUUGUAGUUACUGAGACACAAGAUAUAUUUAAACAGUUGGUACAGAAAAAAUGGAAAGCAUCUACCAUAUCAAUGUACAGCUAGCAUGCCAAACCAUUAAUGUAAGAGCUAAACAAGGGAUGAAUACAUCAUGUGCAAUAGUCUCACAUGAUAUAAAUUAUUCAAUACCUGACCAAAGAAAACAGCUUUCAGGAGAGAGGGGGAGGAUCUGAAAGUGCUUUUGUAGUUUGAAUAAAUACAGUAUUAUGAAUUGAUGACAAAUAUUCUUUUACAAAAGGGAAAAAAAAAUCUUCCUAACUCUACAGCACAGUUAAAUAAUCACGUUUAUUUUCAAACUAUUUCACUAAGUUAUGUCAAUCCAACUUGCAUUCUGUUGUUUACCAUAAAGGUUGAUUUCAUUUUAUACAGUGUUGAGAAUUCUGAAGGAAAACUAACUGUAAUAACGAAAUGAUUUUGUACAUAGCAUAAAUUCUGGAAACACAUGCUUGCCUCUGUCUCCUCCUUCCACUUGCAGGAUUUGGAUAAUGCAUAGCCCUAUUGAUACUGCCAAUCUUCUUGCUUUACUAAUUUCAGAUUGGCCAUACUACUCUAUUUAGGAUUGCUAUGCUGACAAAAAAAUUUAACAGGAUACUUUAAUUGAUUAUGUCAAAUAAAAGCCUUUUGUAGACUUAAAUAAAUGGACAAAAGGCCCUUUAAGUGACAAAUUUAAGAAGAAAAAAAAUCUACACCAUUGUAGGUUACACUGUGAUUAUGGGGAAUCUGCUGGCACAAGUAUUCAAGGGAAUGCCUUCCAGGGAUGAUUUCAUGUAUGAUCCUAAAAUAGUUUAUUUCACUCAAACAGAAGUUGAUAGUAUAUACUUAGUUUUGGCCGCUAACAUAGCGGUUAUUUUCUAUUUGGAGAUGGCAUACUAUUUUCACAUUCUGUAUUAAUAACAGAAAUUCUGAUACAUUUCCUAAAGGAAAAAAAAAAAAAAAAGAAUACUUGCAAACUCAUAAACAUGCAGUUCAUAUUAAUCCAUAGUAGUUUAUAAAAAAUAUAAGUCAAAAAGUUUGUUUACUCACUCCAAAGUACACUGGAAGAGCCAGGACUAUUUUAUUUUAUCCAAUAUUUACAAGUUUGAAGUUGUAACUAAAUCACUUUUUUACUGUGUUGUAAACAAUUUGACGGCUGAUAUUCUCACACUGGCAUGUUACAAUAGACAUCUCAAGCCAGUCCUUAUUUCCUGAGAAACUGCAUUCAGAUUUUUUAAAUCAUUAAACGACCAAUCAUUCCCCAGUAGAAAGCUCUAACGUUUCCAUAUCUAUCUAGUUACAAAAAAUAUAACUAAAAUCAAAAAUAAAGCUAUGUUUUCACAAGUACAGUGAAGCCUCACAAUUCCAAAGCACUUAUUUGAAAGACUAAUUUCCUACCUUUUAUAAUUUCUGUGUUUGUUAUACACACCUUUAAGUAAUUACUUAUUUUGAUUUGUCUCAUUUUGAAGUACUAGCUUUCAAUGAGGAAAAAAAAUUAUGGUUGAGUACAUGCUUGCUACUAGCAACCACCAAAGACAGUGAUGCCAGGUUUUGUUAAUCCAAACAAGAAUACAACCUCAAAGUGUUUGGGGUUCGCUGUAAAUUCAUUUCUCCUAAGCAGCACAAGUUUAAAAGCAGAAAUAAAAAAAUAAACUUCUACUGGUAUUCCUUUAGGACAAUACUAUGAUCUUAGAAAAAUAUUUUACAAGUAUAACUCACAUUUCCUGGAUAUGCUUCACUGGUUUUAGUAUAAACUAAGCAGCAUAUAUUUUAAAAAAUACAGUUAACUAUUAAAAUUUCCUUUUUUCAAACCAAUAAUUAGAACAACAUUAUUCAUGUACCAAAGUUGUACAAAUUGAUAAACUUCAAAUUUUGUCUACAUUCCCAUCUAAACACGUCUGUAAGUCUUAUUUUCUGGUUACAAAACCUCAGUAACCAGAGGAUGGAGUUCGUUUGCCAUGACAUGGCUCCUCCUUCCAAAAUAAGAACUCCACCUUUCUCCUCUAGGGGCAUUAUGGAAGACGCAGAAGGCAAAGACAAUGUGUUCCUAUCCCCCUGAUUAAAUUGUAGCACUUACGCAUUUCUUCCCCUCGCUCUGGUUGGCUUUAUAUACUAAUUCUCAAAACAAGUUACUGCGAGAGCAACCUGUCAGAUGCAUCUACAGCAUCAAUAUGGGAAGAAAGGCAAAGACAGCAAAGUACAUUCUGGCCACCCGAAAAGACAAUUUACUUCAAAGGCAGUGCAGAAAUGGUUAAAAAAAUAAAAGAACUCAUUCCACCAUUUCCUGAAGGACAUCUAAACUACACCAAAGAAAAUAUGACCAGGUGGUUUGAUAAAGCUUUGAGUUUGGUUUGGGUCUUUUUGCCUCCACAGAGGUGCAGAGGAAGGACAUUUCACCUAAGAAAUGAGUCUUGAAUGUUUUUAAGGAAAGGGGAUUAUGUAAAAAUGUUAAUCGUAUCCAAACACUAAAUGCUAAACAGACAAGCAAUUCUUCAGGGCUCGGCUAAUGACCAUGUUCUGUGAAAAGAUCAUCACAAGUUCAGUUUGUAGCAUAAACGCUAACAAAGUUCUAACCCCUGCAGGCUUUUAAUUCUUACGGAGCUUCAAACACAACUGUGCCAGUGGUCCGGUCAGAGUACCCUUCCAGUUCAUGAGUACAUACUGAACAUGACAUUUAUAGGCAUCGGACACAACUGUACUGCAAUGCAAAAGAACCGUGAUCUCCUAACAUGUCGUUUUACCUAGGGUCUAGGCAUUGCAAGUGAAGAAAAUGAAACAAUUAACAGGCAAUCUCUUUGUCUUAAAAGGUUAGGUACCCAUGCAUAUUGAAGCUUCAACGUUACAGUAAAUUCUAAAAGUGUGUUCUCAGUGAGAAAAGAGAAUGAAACAUAAUUGUAACUGAUUUAGAAACAAGAUCUUUUUUUCUUUUUUUAAGGCAAAAUAAGACAAAAAACCACCAUCCUUCUAAUUCCUUUCUAAAAACAAAACUUUCGAAUCCAAGCAGUAUUGUAAUAAGGCACAUUAUCUCUUCAGCCAUGCAUAGCAUGCUCUGUGGAAUGAAUGGGCAUAUAUAACCGCUUGCUGACAAAACACUCUGCUUCAUGGAUGGCAGGCAGCUACCAAAAGUGAGGACUUUGGCAAAUGCUCUCUUGGAGAUGUGCAUUUUAACAGCUCUUCUCUAGCAAGUAGAUGCUAAGGUAAGAGGGAAGAAUUUUGAAGUGCCCGCCUCCUCAUGACUGAAAAAGCAGACAUAUCAGGCUGCUGCCUAUAUUAAGCUUUUGUGGGAAAAGAUGCUUGAAAAGGGGUACAGAAGGAAUAUUACUGACAGCAGGAGCAUUAAUCAGAGAGGUUAUAAAACAAUCUUCAAAGUAAUAGGACUUUCUGCUACUACAGUGACGAAUUUCAGGGGGGAAAUAUAAUCAAAGCAUAGUUCUCUGUCAGCUAUAAGAUGUCUAAAAGAAAAUGAGCUGGGUAACUUAGUAUCCUCAUCUGGUAGACUGCCACUGAGCACAGCUUUUUACCAAGUCAUCUAAAGAGUUUAAAAUCCUUACCAGAAAAAAAAAAAGCGAUAUUGUUUAUCAUGCUCCACAGCCACUGCAAAAAAUAAGGAGCUGGUGCAGAAUAAGCAGAAAAAAUCCAAACCACUUGCUACUGCUUUGUAGCAUCAGUCAUUAUGCCAAGCAGUGGCAACACAUGAAGCUGAUACUUGCCAAAGCAUCUGGGUUGAAAGCGAUGCGGUGCUGUUCACUGGCAUUGCUGUACAAGCUAGCAGAAAAAUGUUUCAAAACGUCAGUCAAUCUCAGUCAGGCUCUUGAAGACUUCUACAGGACUUCACAGAAACGCUACACAUCUUAGCAACUUCUGAAAGCCCCAUCAAGCACAAAUAGCAGAUACCACAGAGAAGUUGCCCUCUUUCUUCCUCUCCCCCACAAAAGGGUAAACGGAGACUUCCUAGUGGAGAUUUCCUGUCCCAAAUACGACCAGGAACUAAAGGGAGUGGACAGAGAUUGCAAAACUGCCUUUAUUGUUAUUUGGGAGAAGGAAGCAUGGUAGACUCUUGAGACUGCUACAGUACUGGUUGAGCUGACUAGCCAGUGAUCCAGUGUUUCAAAAUGCCAGCAACAUUUAAGCUUUAUGCUACAGAAUGAGAAUCAUGUAAAAGUACAGCUGCACAGAGACUAAUGAUGAAGAAACAAUAUUAAAAAGGACUAAAGACAGAGACAGCAUUCUUUAUGUGCAAUUAUUUCAUUGUGGGCUGCACAACUCUAGAGAAGACCGAGAAUAACAUAACCUGACUUGUGUUCCUACAUAAGCAUGUCCCAAAGACCAUGGAGGAGGUGAUUCUCUGACAUGCUUAUGGCAUCAGAUAGAGAAAGAAUGCUAUAUCAUCUCAUUGGGCAUAAGAAACAAGUUCCUACUAGCCAUGAAGUCCCCAGUCAGCUUCACUUCAACCUCCAUAGAUUUUCAAGGGAAGUGAGGACCUCUGCAGGGAACCCCCAAGCACAUUCACUUCUUGCCACGGCACAGUGUUUUCUACAGACACACAAACUGUCAGCAGAUUGGCCCAGAGUUCAGUUGCAGAGACUUUUAAGUUUUGGUUGCACAUGUUGUUUUUCUUACAAAUGGGCCACCUCUACCAUACUCAUGGAUAUGACGCUACAGUGAACAUCUCUUGAAUUCUCAAUAGGCCUGACAAACACAGGAGACACCUCACAGGAGAAAGGGAGGUCGGUCUGGCCAUAAAGCAUGCCAAGAGGUCUGGUCCUGGGCACACCUCACAUUCCAAAAGGAGGCAGCACACUUUCAUGUCAAGGGGGGAACCCUUCCGCACAAGAAGGUGUCCGGAUAGAGUAGAAAAGGCUGUUGUAGGAGCCUGUGUUGAAGUUUUCACCUUCGGACUGCAAAGUUUCCUAUAUCUUGUCUGAAGAAGGAACAGGAAAGAACUGUGCAGUGGGAAGCACUAAAAUUCUUUUAUUUAUUUACAGAAAUCCAUGGUCAAAAAGUUUCAGUAUACUGGCAUAGUGACGAUACAGAGGAAAAAACAGUCAAAUAAUCUAACCUUGACACACAAAUAAAAUAAAUAUGAAAUAACAAGUAAAUAUGUCUGGGCUAAUGUGUGCCAAUUCAGAAUGUAAACUUUACAUUAAAUACUUUUAUUGGAAAAUAGCAAAAUACAUAAGUAAAUCUUAGAGCAACUGAAGUGUGUCAUUCCACCUCCCCCCCGGUUCCAUUUUUCCUUAUUUGCCUUUAUCUCUCACUGGACAUUCUUCCAUCAUUCUUUAUCACGGACAGCAGCAGAGCUACUGUCAUUUUUAAAGAAACCAGAGAAACACAGUUUCACAUAUGGAACAGAACUUUUCUCACCACUGACCAAAAUUCCUACUGAGAUAACAUGGAGCUCUGUCAUUUGGUUAUCACAGAUGUAAGGCUGUGCCAACCAAAGCUUUGACAAGCUCUUAAAUAGGAAUACAAAUAUAUGCAUAUAUGUCCCACUUCUAAUGACUUUCCAAGGAAUUUUUUUUUUUUUUUUUUUUUUUUAAGAACUGAUCAACUCUUGCAGGUAGUUGAUAUCUUCGAAUAGACUUCGGUAAAGAAAGAAAGAGAAGAUCUGUCAGAGGUCUCAUUAAUCCAAAAGGUGCAAUGCUUAAUUAUCUGAUCUUUGAUAAGAUUCAGCUGAUUCAUUAGAUAAACUACGAAGCUAAUCUUGAAAGGCAACCAAAUUCCUUUGUCUAAGUAGCCCGCUAGAUAGACUUGCUUAUUAGACACCAAUUCACUUUUCUCUAAAUUGAUCAAAAGGCUUAGAUAAGAGGGAGAUUAACCAUCUUCCUAAUGGUUUACUGCAGCCUCUUGGAAAGGCAAAGCUAUUGGUAAUCUGUUAUCAAGGAUAAGGUGGAUUUUUGAUGGCUAAAAGACAUUGCUACUAAUGUCAGAUAGGAGGGGGGGAAUACAAUGUAAACCAACAAGCCAUUGUAUUAAAAUUCUUUUAAAGCAUAACCAAGCUGUAAGUCAUGACCAAGUGUAUUUGCACAAGGCAAGAAUUCAAUUCUCUGCCAACCCUCUCCUCCUCUUACUGAAUUUUUCAUUGAAGUUAUAUAGUCUAUAGAUCACAAAGUUACAGGACACUAAUUAUUCAUGAACUUUCUUAAUAUACAUUGAGUGUUUCUGUGCACCUGAGUUGAAUACCUGUAGCCAGAGUGAAAGACGUCAAGUAGAAAGAUGCUGCUAUAGAUCUGGCAGUGUUUUUAACCCAAAUCUUUGCUCUAGACAAACUUAGCUCCCAAAUUCUAUUUAAGGAAAAUGCCUUCUAUUGAAAAAGUGAAAUAUUCAGCUAGCUACAUUUUGGUGGCACUUUCUUCUGAACAGAGUGUCAGAAUUUUUGCAGUUGGAUGGCAGCCGAUAGAGUCUGGAUUUCUCCCAAGAAAUAAUGAAGUUUCGCUUCUUGCCUUCCCCUGGAGCUCCACAUGCCUCCAGCCAUAGAAGAAAAAACAAACAAACAAAAAACCCAACAACUACUUUUUGCCUUUCUCAAGAUUCAAACAGUUGCUGCCUGGGGCCUUUUGCUACCAAUAUCUUUGUAGGAAUACAAAGCUGAACACAGCAUUCUAAACCGAAGUUGCAGAAUCUUCACUUGAAAAUUGACCAAUUGAUUUGGGUGUGAAACGGCGUCUUUUCCCGAGGAAAAUCUCUUUUCUUCAGAAGAAGAGUCAUGAAGACCCAUAAAGUUCAUAAACUCAGCCUAAGCCACAGAACAAGCACAACUUUACAGAUAUAAGUUGUCAGAAGAUGGGAGAAAACAGAACUUUCAUAGAAAUCCUACAGGAAAGCAACACAAAAUUCUCUCGGGCUUUGUAAGUGAGAAUGAAGCAAAGGAAUAUUUCUGCGUCUCCAGGUCAGUAAGAAAUGGUUAUAUCCAUAUAUAUUUUUAUAUAUAUCUCUAUAUAUAGCAAAAGGUAAAACAUCAGCAUUUUCUUUGUUGUGACCAAGCAAUGUUCUUCCGUAACAGUAAGUCCAAAGGCAAAGGAGAAAGAACUCUGCCUGUCCUUCAUUAAGGACUAGCAGAGAACAGUGGACUUAAUAGUCCCGUACACAUGGGACCAGCAGCUAUGUACAUCUAUACUAGCAGAUUCAGCUGGGCCAAGGAGGGUUCCCGAGCAAAAGGACAACAAUCUGCUCUGUUCGUACAAUGUUAGGGCAUUCAGAGCAUCCAUUCCAACUAGCAACUCUUCCCCAGCAACUCCCGGGAAUGUGUGGCAGUCAGCAUGUUCCAGGAAUCAUUCCCAAUAUGCAGCUUUCAGGCAGCCACCCAGUUUUACAGGCUAGGACAGUUAACUAGCACAGAUGUGCGUGCUGCUCCAUGGGGUCAGUGACUGGGAACAUGCAAUUUACUAACAGAGAAUUGGGCAUUUUUGUCUGUAAGUUUUGUUUUUUCUUCUUAAAUCUCUUCUGACUACAUCUGCUCUUGCACCUCCUUUUGGUGUACUUCUCAAAUACUGUGACUUAUCUGUCCUGAGAAAAUCUCCUUCCAAAUAGUGAAACCAGGGAGAGACGGGGAAAAUAAAUAAAAAGCUAAUGGCUCUAUCAAACAACUGCACAGUGAGAUCAAAGGGCAAGAACAAUUAGUUGAUAAUGAGGAUCACCAAGCUCAAAACAUAUACAUGCAAACUACAUACAUACUUCACAAACUAGUCUAAAUACAAGUGCACAAGACUACCUUGUGUUUCGUUUUUUCACUUAUUUGCCAGAAUCAUCUGGUAGAAUCAAAAUUUUCCUUUGACAUCUCAAAAUGGCAAUUACGAAGAACUAAAUUUUGGGGAACACUCCAGAGAUGUGAACAUUUAGCUUAAAAGAAACAUUAGCUUUUGUAAAACACUUUCUGAGACUAAGCACCAGCAAUACACUUUAUACGGUAUGGAAAUAUCAUUUUACAUAUGUAUGUCAAGAAUUACUCAGCACUGUAAAAUGAUUACUUAAUUUUAUAACAGAAAAAGUUUAGAAAUGCAUAACUUACCUUUAAGAAACAAGAGGAAAUUGAUUAAUAAAAUAAUGCUUUUUUUUAAAAUGAUCUUUAAGGAGUUAUAUGGCACUUAUAGCACCACCUUAAAAUAAGAAUAGGAAACACUACCUAAAACAAAGUUGCAAAUGAAAGUAUGAUAGAGAUUUGUUGUUUUUCAAAAAUGUUUUGAUAAACUUCAGUAAGUAAAAAACUUCGAAGUGCAAACUCACCCUUGUAUUCCAAGCCAGCACAAACCCUCCAUAUUAGUGGAAGGUAAACAAGUAUGUUUACCAGGCCUUUUUUUUUUUUUUAAUAUGCUCAAUUAGCUAAACUGUCUUUUUUUAAAUAUUUUUAAUAGGCUGAUCUAAUAGACUUAGGCCAAUAUUCCACAUUAAGAUACCACUUAUCAUUUUUACAUUUGCUCUAUCUCCCAUAGAAGGAUUUUCAUCUAUUUCUGAGGCAUUACUAACACAGCAAAACUUGCACUAAUAACAGACAGAUGAAAACAUACAUACUUUUACAAAUAUACGAAAGCUUGCAAUCUCAUUUCAAGCCAUCUAGACAUUUUCACUGUCCUUGAAGAAGCAUGAAGAUGAAUGAGCUAGCUACACUAAGCUACCAUUAAAAAAAAAUCAUCAAAAUAGGGUUGUAUUCAUCCCACUUCUUGGGCUUCUUAUAAUUUCUGUUGUCCGUACAGAGAUCUUCAUGUAUUGUCAGAAAUGGUUAUUUACUCCUCUGGAAUGGUGAGAAAGCCCUGAGGAACUGGACAAUAAUCACAGUAUUACAAUGCUUCUUCUCUAUUCAAAUGCCUUACUGCCUACAUAACCAGGUAAAACAUAGCUUGUGUCCACAAACCAGGUAAGAACGAAAUCAACUUCACCCACCUUUGCAGACCUGAUCAUUCUACCGCAUUUUCUGGAGAGCACGUGUAUUGAUCCUUCUGCAUUAUAUUUCAGAGGCAGUGGCAAGAUCAUUGCGGGAUAUUGACCUCAAAUAGGCAAGAUGCAUGAAUACAAAAACCAAAAAUUCUGAGAUGUUAGAAAAGAUGCAGUAAGACAAGGUAACAGUGUUGGAUUGUGUACCAAACUUCACGUUGGAGUCUAUGUUCACACAUGAAGUGGAUUCAAUAAGACAAUGAAAUGUUAGUGAGUUUGUAGAAAUUUCUUCUAAGAUUUGCUGAACUUCUUUGAAACGGUCGAUGUAAGAAUAAAGAAACAGGUCAUAGCAUAAGCUACCAACCUGAGGGAACAUAGGCUUAAAAAUAAAAUAAAAUCUUAAAGAUCAGAAAGUUGAGACACGACAAAAAAAAUACAGAAGAACUAGAACUAACUGGUACAAGCAGAACUUAGUACCAUGCAUGUAUCCUCAAUUUUUAAAGCACUCUUAAUAAUUAGUUUGUUAUGGAAACACAGGCACCAACAGAUUGCCAUGGCUGGGGGCAGGAGGCAAGGUGGAAAUCGAGAACAAAUCUCUACAUCUGAAACAAAAUUACUGCCUCCUGUUCCAUCUUUAUAGCAAAUAUGGUAGAGAGCUGUCCCUAUCCGCAAUACAAAAAGAAAAUCUAGAUCUUCAAAGUUAUUUAGGUACUUAACUCACUAAAACGUCAACAGUAAUUAGAUCCAAGUAUUAGUGCAGUGCUGGGCCUCAGAAACAAGGCCUCAGAAUAUCACAUCAGUCGAUCAACAUAUGUUGUGGUGCAAAUUAUCCACUAACUUUGUUGCCAAGAUAACUGAAAGGUCAAAACAGCAAAUUUCAUGUCUUACCACCAUUCAUAAAAACAAAUGAUUGUUUCUUGCUCUCUAAUCUAAUCAUUGCCCAUAACAGUUUAUCAACAAAUAUGCAAUUUUGAAAAUAGAACAUCAAGAUGAAAAUCUGAGAAUUAAACAUUCUCAGCUUCAAGUUAUUUUCCAAGUUUAAUUAUUUUCCCUAAUAGAGAAGGUUUUAACUAGACCCACGUAGAUUAUGCUUGAACUGCAUCUAGUGACAUAAAACAUCUGAUAAAGAUGCCCUUAAAUUGUCUUAUAGAAUUAUCCAUAUUAACAAGCAUGGAUUGUUGAUUGCAUAUUAAGACACAGAAAUCAUUGUACAACCUGGUGAGAGGAACAGGAACACUUACUCCCCUACAUACGUCCAGGUGAAAAGCUCCACAAUCAAGUUUUAGAUGAUCCUAUGUUUAUUCCACAAGCUGGUAAUAUACCAGCUUGGUGUAGCAGUUGGCAUCAAGCUAUCAGAAUGAGCACAGUCACCACUGCCUGAAGUAACAUUUUAUAUAAAAGUACUAAUAACUGUAUAUCAAGGGAUGAACUGAACUGACUAAAAACAGAGAAACGGCAGUUUUUAAAGAUGCCACAAUGCCCAAUUUCAGCAAGAAACAUGAACAGUAUUUACAUAGUUCCUCCAUCCUACCUACGUGAUAAAAAAGCACCAGCAGAAUCCCUAUUAGGAACUAUCAAGUACUACUAAGGGCAGGCUCUUAAGAAAGCCAUCCUAGGGCUUCUCGCACUGUACCUUGAAACCUAAGCCCUAAAGAAUAUAACUGUUAUGAGAUGGAGAGAGAGGACAUUUACAUCUGAGUGCAUAAUUUAUAAAAUAGGAGGCACUAAGGAAUUAGAGAAGUGCAUGCUUAACUCAAGCUACUAUUAAGGCUUGUCUAGUGCUAGAACUAGUCCAAACUGAUGAGUUUAGGGUAUUCCGCCUCCACAGAGAGCAAACCCAAAUAAAGCUAUUGCUGCGUGCUGGUACCAAUGGAAGAUUUCAACCCCAGGAUGUAGUUUAGGAACACAACGCUUGAGACAUGAUUCUUAGAAAGCUGUAAAGGGCAAGCUCCUGAACUAGCACUGCCUGGUGCUGAGUUCAAGGGAAGAAGCUCCCUCUGUACCGAAACUGCUGGUCCCUCUGCAGGAGGCACAUGGCUGCGUGUCACCUCACAGCCCCUGCCCCACUCCUAGCAGCCCUCCAAUGCCUCCAAGCUAGGCAAACAAAAUCACUUUGUGAAAGAAGUUUGCUUCUCCAAGCACACAAACAGGACAAAAAAGCUCUGUCUGCUGUACAGCAUGAAGCAUAAAGCACAAAUGCUCACACUUGCAAACGCCAGAGCCAGAAAGUCACCGUGAUGUAGCACAAUGCCGAGUACAUUAACAGCUCUAAAUGCAGUCUGGCCACCACAAGAACCUUUACUUCUCAUUCACGAGCUGAACACUCCGACACCACAGGUGACUCUUCAUUACAGCUGCUCAUCUAGUGACUUUAAGGGCUUUAGAAAGACUUUGUAUCUGUAGUAUUAUGUUCAUCGUAGACCGCAGACAUUCUCAGUGGACUGAGCAAAAAUUCUGGAAAUAGGUAAACACUUCCUACACAUAUAACAACUUUUAUAAUAGUUAAGAUCAUAACUCUUAAUCUGAACUUUUGUUCAAAAUCAAAUAUUUGCUCAAGUCUAAAUGAGUCUUUGCUCUUAGAAAUAGGUAACAGAAAUAAACUUCAGCCUUACCAUAUCACUAAAGCUCAACUGUUUAUCCUCAUUCUGAGAAAAUGUCCUCAUCACUUAAUACUUUGCUGAAAGUACUUCAAAAAAAAGUUUGUUUUUAAAAAGAUGGCCACAUAAAUCAGGAUACACAAUUACUGUUCCAAGGUAUUAAAACUAUAGAUGUGUAUCUUUAAGACAUUUACAUCUGAAGCAUUAUGGAGCAACAUGAAACUUCCUGAAGUGCAUGCUUGAUCUGACUCCUGUCCCCUGAUGGUCCAACUGAGCUGACAACACCGCAACUCCACCAAGACGGCAGAAGGAGGAUCAGCUACAGCAGCUGAACUCUGUAUGCCUCCCUCUCCCUGCUCCUCCAAGGAAGGCAGCUGCUGUUGGCUCCGCCAUCCAAGGCCCCCACAAGCCCCACGGAGUAUUCGUGUCAACCACCCCCAACCCACAGCCUAAGAACGAGUAUUUUGAUUCAUUCUGCUGCAAGGCACAAAUGAAAGUUCCAGUGGUAGCAAAAACCCGAGACAACCACUAACAUACCUUUCUACAGGAAUUCAAACCUAUCAGAGUUGCUCUCUCUUAAGGGGAAGCAAAUUAAAUAAAAACCAAAACCUCUAAAGAUUUUCUAUUUCAGAUGGUUCACUCUGUUCCUAAAUAAGAAAAGUAGCAUUCUCUAUAAAGGGCAGACUUCCACAACAAAACCCAGAAACAGCCGGGUUUUUUUAAAUCAUUUGUUUCCUCUUUGGGGAGGACUGAGGCUGAGAAAUUCAAUCUAUAUCGCAGGUACUAAGCAGUUCUGGAGGAGGGGAAAAACUUUUUUUUUUUUCCCUAAAUAGGCAACUUCUUUUUAAAUAUGGAUGCAGAAAUCUAACUUUAGCUGUCCAGGUUUUCACAUUUCUGAUCUCAGAUGCAGAAAGUAGAGCAUUAAUCUAGUCUCUUGACUUCAAGGUUAUCAUUCAUUGAGGUCAAUGACUCCAUCUCUGAAAAGCAGAACUUCCACUUUCAGCGUGGUAACUGUUGCCUUUCAGUAAGCAACUGUGUUCAACUCCUUUCUGCCUGCUUUCUCACAGCUGCUGGCAGAAAGCUAACAGCCAGAAAGACAGCACGAACAGCUCCUGCUAAGGGAGUUACCUAUGUAAAAACAGUGGUUAACUCUAAAAGCAUUCUUAUUCAUGCAAAGAGCUCACUAGCCAUCUAUGUUUAAAACUAAUACUGCUAAUAAGCAACCCUGUCUCUUACAUUAUUUUCUCGGCAUCUUCCUUUUGGGGGAUGAAAAUGAAAAAAACCUGCACGCUCAAGACCUGAAUAGCCGAGACCGACUGCCUGUAUCGAGAGAGUUAAACAUGUGACAAAGUUACUGACAGAAUCAGUCCAACUGGAAUAAAAGUCACCAACCAGAAACAAAACCAGAACCAGCUCAUGCCAUGCUUCAGCAUGGAAUUAGCUCAUGGGCCAAAGAUUUGCUCCUUUUUAAUCCGAUUCUGGUUUUAUGCCAACAGCACGUACAUCUCACAAAAGGGACUCCAGGUAUGCAAUUACCUAAGUGGAACCACAGAUAGUAGCAUGUUCAUCAGUUCCACAACAACUAAAUCCAGGUAAGCGAGAAAAAGGUGAUGCCCUACUAAGUUUCUGACAUUUCCUGGAAAAAGUUGAAACAGCACUAAACAAACUACCUCAAAGGCUGAUUGGCAAAUCUAAUAUAAUGUAAAACAUGGAAACUUCCAAAUAAAGAGCAGCAAUAUUAGACAGUUUUCUUCUGAUUACACUUUUUUAAUGACUUUUUUUAGUGUUUUUUUUUUUUUGUAUAUUUGCUUUCAAUACUCACAUAUGAAACAUGCUUUAAAACAGUCAUAGUUUAAUGAAAUCUGUAGCUGAAUUAUUAUGGUAUAAGACAUGAGUCAUGGCCCAAUUCUAAAUCUUCAUUCUACUCUUACAUAAACCUAACACCUGAAUACUUGCAAGAGUCAUCCUGAUCCAAGAACUUCCCCAAAGUCUUUAUUCUCAUUUGUUAAAUUUUAAUAAGCAAUGCAACUGGGGAAAAAAUAGCUAUAACGUAACCAUUUACUAUUUCAUUGUUCUAGCACUGUUGCUAUUGAGUAGUAUUGGAAUGGGCUUUUUUUUUUCUUCCAUUUUCCAAACACAAACGUUAUUUUUAAAAGGUUAAGAACAAUAGGAUCACUUCCAAUGUUUCUUCAAACUUGAAUAUAACAUUUUCACAUUCCCUAUCACUUGCUUGAAUAUCAACAUCUCUGGUGUGUUCAAUAUAAUUUCACAAUGAACACAAGAAUUUGAUAAAAUUAUUUUGAUGUUUUCAGCAUGAAUGAUGUUUUUCAGGCAUAUCCAUGAAAAUGUGAAUGUGUUCAAAAUGAAGUUAAUAUAUGAUAAAUUCUAGUGCACAAUUAAAGAUAAAAUAACCAUUCUACACUUCUUUUUAAUGAUGUUACAUGAUCAAACCUCUGGAUAAUAUCACGUAGGCACAAGAAUUGAACAAAAUAUUAUAGAAAAAAUCGAUAUAAAACAUAACUGAUAAGUUAUCCUAUUUCCUUGCUGCCCUUAGCAUACAGAAAUGCCCCAAUGUUGUUCAAUGGUCUUGUGGGAGACCUAAAUCAGGAAGAAAUAUCUGUUGUGUUUUAGUAUAAAAUUCAUCGCCACCAAAAAGCAGUUCAGGACACGCAGCCAUGCAAUGUUUUCCUUCCCUUCUGCUGUCAAGAACAGCACUUCUCCAACAAUAACUGUUACCAGUUACUCUGAGAGGAUCAGCAUGUCGUGAUCGAUUCCUUCAGAAUGGAUCCUUCCGGAUCUCAUACGUCUGGUUUAGUAUAUUUACACUGGUCCCCUAUACACUCAACUGAGAGGCAAGUCCUUUUCUGGCACAGGUCAAGAAAAGACAACAGGCUUUAAGCUCUUCAAAAGCUUAAAAGAUCAGACAGUUAAUUAUUCUUAAUUAUAUAUUCCUAGGCCACAGCUAACAAGAAAAAUCAAAGCCAAAACAAGGAAGUUCUUUGUUUUAAAACCAAUCCAUUUUUAUUAGAUAGCCUCUACAAAGAGAGGGAAAAAGUACCAAGAACAACAACAAAAAUAACACCACAGUUCUAUUCUACUUGGCAGGUGCAGCACAAGACGUGGCAAUCGAUUUUAAAAUAUUAACUUUCAAAUGCAAGAUCAAUCCUUGCUUGUACGUACACAGCACAAUCCCAAAUCUGAUGCUACCACACUAUAAAAAGUAAACACUUGCUAGUACAAUUAUCAGCAUAGUGGUAUAACUACCACUGUAAUGGCAGCAAUAGCAUUGCACUUACGGUUCCAACUUUUCAGACACUGCUCUGGAAGAGACUGACUCUCAAAGUAGUAAAAAAAAAACACAAAAGUACAUAUUCUGAGAAUACACUUUUAACACAAACCUCAUUCUAAGGCAUCACCUUUGUUAUUAUCACCUAUUUGUAAUGCACAAUCAUGUCUGAAAUAUAAAUUUAGCUCUUCCUACAAUGAACUGAAUGCCCAGCUUUGCUUUUUGCAGAGUACUUCACAGAAAAUCCAUAUAAGUCCUAUAAAAUCUUUAAGUUAGCAAGACUGACAAAAAGCAAUUCUUGAAAGUCUUUUAGUCCUCCAAACAGUUCCCUUCUCUGAUUGUGUCCUACAUAGCACAGGUGCUAAGAACACAGCAAAAGACCCCUCUCUCCUUUCUGUGACAAUGAAACACAUCACCAUCUUUAAAA
Cygnus olor (mute swan) is the source of this 23178-nucleotide long non-coding RNA. RefSeq lists it as uncharacterized. The record is from RefSeq and is a predicted model, not a curated record. The transcript is spliced from 3 exons. NCBI's taxonomy places the organism in Eukaryota, Metazoa, Chordata, Aves, Anseriformes, Anatidae.